CAGCCGACCCGUGGCAUCUGUCUCCAUCCAGACGCUGGCAGUGAGCGCCCAAGAGGCUCCUGCUGUGCCCGUCUCGAGGCCAUUGCUCUUCCCGUCUACCCCGCAGCUGCUGUCGGGGCUGUGUUUGGCCUCACCACCUGCAUCAGUGCCCAGGUCCGUGAGAAGCCCGACGACCCCCUGAACUACUUCCUCGGUGGCUGCGCCGGAGGCCUGACUCUGGGAGCACGCACGCACAACUACGGGAUCGGCGCCGCCGCCUGUGUGUACUUGGGCAUAGCGGCCUCCCUGGUCAAGAUGGGCCAGCUGGAGGGCUGGGAGGUGUUUGUAAAACCCAAGGUGUGAGCCCUGUGCCUGCCGGGACCUCCAGCCUGCAGAAUGCGUCCAGAAAUAAAUUCUGUGUCUA
RNAcentral lists this small RNA (403 nucleotides) under Pongo abelii (Sumatran orangutan). RNAcentral describes it as "retained intron". Lineage: Eukaryota; Metazoa; Chordata; Mammalia; Primates; Hominidae. The record is from RNAcentral.